Molecule: ribosomal RNA, 250 nt
Filed under: uncultured bacterium
Lineage: Bacteria
Description: partial 16S ribosomal RNA
Rfam family: Bacterial small subunit ribosomal RNA
Source: RNAcentral
UACGAAGGGUGCAAGCGUUAUCCGGAUUCAUUGGGUUUAAAGGGUGCGUAGGUGGGGCGUUAAGUCAGUGGUGAAAGCCUACAGCUCAACUGUAGAAUUGCCAUUGAUACUGGCGCUCUUGAGUGCGCUUGAAGUAGGCGGAAUGUGCCGUGUAGCGGUGAAAUGCUUAGAUAUGGCACAGAACACCAAUUGCGAAGGCAGCUUACUAAGGCGAUACUGACACUGAGGCACGAAAGCGUGGGGAUCGAAC